Molecule: unclassified non-coding RNA, 240 nt
Filed under: soil metagenome
Description: partial contains 5.8S ribosomal RNA, internal transcribed spacer 2, and large subunit ribosomal RNA
Source: RNAcentral
AAGACUAUAGACCUGCGGAGUACCUGCGGAAGGAUCAUUACCGAGUGAGGGUCCCUUGCGGGCCCAACCUCCCACCCGUGUUUAACUAUACCGUGUUGCUUCGGCGGGCCCACUGGGGCCUGUUCCCGGUCGCCUGGGGGGGUGAAACCCCCCGGGUCCGUGCCCGCCGGAGACCCCUUGAACCCUGAGUGAAUCGAGUGUCGUCUGAGUUUGAAUUAAAUCAUUAAAACUUUUAGCAAU